AGGAGACAAACUACAACAGAAAAGAGCUUCCAAUGGAAUUCAUAAAGCUUUACAAUGGCUUAAACACAGACUAGCUUACAAUAUUUGAAAUAAUUAUCAAAUAAGCAACAGCAAAAGAAGACAAGCUUUUCUUCAUUUAUGGCCAUAAAGGAACAGGAAAGACUUAUCUAUGAAAAAUAAUUUUGGCAAUAUAAAAGUCAG
Molecule: long non-coding RNA, 201 nt
Filed under: Elaeis guineensis (African oil palm)
Lineage: Eukaryota; Viridiplantae; Streptophyta; Magnoliopsida; Arecales; Arecaceae
Description: long non-coding RNA (EGUI_LNC001674)
Source: RNAcentral